GUCUAUGGCCGUACCACCCUAAAAGUGCCUGAUCUUUUCUGAUCUUAGAAACUAAGCAGGCUUGAGUCUGGUCAGUACUUGGAUGGGAGAUACCUAUUUCAUAUGUC
Papio anubis (olive baboon) is the source of this 107-nucleotide non-coding RNA. The record is from Rfam. Lineage: Eukaryota; Metazoa; Chordata; Mammalia; Primates; Cercopithecidae.